GACGAACGCUGGCGGCGGGCUUAACACAUGCAAGUCGAACGGAAAGGCACUGCUGUGGCGGGGGGCUCGGUUAGCGAACGGGAGAUUAACAUGUCAGUAGCCUGGCCUCGACUUAGGGAUAAUUUCAGGAAACGUGGGCUAAGACCGGAUAGGAGCUCGGGCUGCAUUGUGGGGGUGGGAAAGUUUCGGCGGUUGGGGAUGGAAUCGCGGCUUAUCAGCUUGUUGGUGUGGUAGUGGCUUACCAAGGCGUUGACGUGGAGCCGGCCUGAGGGGGUGACCGGCCCAAUUGGGAUUGGGAUACGGCACAGCCUCAUACGCGAGGCAGCAGUGGGGAAUGGUGCAUAAUGGGCGGAAGGCUGAUGUAGCCACGCCGCGUGCGGGAUGACGGCAUGGCCGUUGUAUUGCGAAGCCGUCUGUCCCGAAGAGAGAGUGACGGUAAUGGGUAAAGAAGCACCGGCUAACUACGUG
RNAcentral lists this ribosomal RNA (468 nucleotides) under uncultured bacterium. Its description in RNAcentral is "partial 16S ribosomal RNA". It matches the Rfam family "Bacterial small subunit ribosomal RNA", at positions 28 to 507 of the family's 1533-position model. The record is from RNAcentral.